AGACUUUCGGAGGAGGUAAUGACCAGUUCCAUUGGUGCCUUUUGGUACUGUGGAUAGGGGUACGGUUUUCCACCGUACCGAAACCUAGCAGAGGGCCAGUCUGGUGCCAGCAGCUGCGGUAAUUCCAGCUCUGCGAGUUUGCUCCCAUAUUGUUGCAGUUAAAACGCCCGUAGUCUGAAUUGGCCAGCAAUGGUCGCACGUAUUUAUACGUUCACUGUGAACAAAUCAGGACGCUUAGAGUAAGGCUACAUGAAUGACUCAGCGCAGUAUGAAGUCUUUGUUUUCGUCUGAAAACAAGCUCAAUGAGAGCCAUCGGGGGUAGAUCUAUCUCAUGACGAGUGGUGGAAUACUUUGACUCAUGAGAGAGAAUCUGAGGCGAAGGCGUCUACCUAGAGGGUUUCUGUCGAUCAAGGGCGAGAGUAGGAGUAUCCAACAGGAUUAGAGACCCUGGUAGUUCCUACCUUAAACGAUGCCGACAGGAGUUUGUCAUUUACUAAUGGCAGAAUCUUUGGAGAAAUCAUAGUUCUUGGGCUCUGGGGGAACUACGACCGCAAGGCUGAAACUUGAAGGAAUUGACGGAAGGGCACACCAGGGGUGGAGCCUGUGGCUUAAUUUGAAUCAACACGGGGAAACUUACCAGGACCAGAUGUUUUUUAUGACUGACAGGCUUCGGGUCUUUCAGGUUAUUGCUUUUGGUGGUGCAUGCCCGUUGGUGGUGCGUGGGUUGACCUGUCUAGCGUUGAUUCAGCUAACGAGCGAGAUUAUCGCCAAUUAUUUACUUUCUCUUGGCUUCAAGGCGAAAGUUCUAAUUGGGACUCCCUGCGAUUUUAGCAGGUGGAAGAGGGUAGCAAUAACAGGUCCGUGAUGCCCUUUAGAUGCUCUGGGCUGCACGCGUGCUACAAUGUUAGGAUCAAUAGGACUGCGACCCUGAGAGGGGAAGCUACUCUUAUAAUCCCUAACGUAGUUGGGAUUGACGUUUGUAAUCAGCGUCAUGAACCAGGAAUCCCUUGUAAAUGUGUGUCAACAACGCACGUUGAAUACGUCCCUGCCCUUUGUACACACCGCCCGUCGCUCCUACCGAUUGGAUGACUCGGUGAAAUCACCGGAUGCUUACGAGCAGAAAGUGAUUAAAUCACGUUAUCUAGAGGAAGGAGAAGUCG
RNAcentral lists this ribosomal RNA (1160 nucleotides) under Trichomonas sp. RWG-2007-1. Its description in RNAcentral is "SSU rRNA". It matches the Rfam family "Eukaryotic small subunit ribosomal RNA", at positions 452 to 1791 of the family's 1831-position model. The record is from RNAcentral. Lineage: Eukaryota; Parabasalia; Trichomonadida; Trichomonadidae.